RNAcentral lists this ribosomal RNA (445 nucleotides) under uncultured bacterium. Its description in RNAcentral is "partial 16S ribosomal RNA". It matches the Rfam family "Bacterial small subunit ribosomal RNA", at positions 354 to 796 of the family's 1533-position model. The record is from RNAcentral.
GUGAGGAAUAUUGGUCAAUGGACGAGAGUCUGAACCAGCCAAGUCGCGUGAAGGAAGACGGUUCUAUGAAUUGUAAACUUCUUUUGUGCAGGAAUAAAGUGGGUUACGUGUAACCUUUUGUAUGUACUGUACGAAUAAGGAUCGGCUAACUCCGUGCCAGCAGCCGCGGUAAUACGGAGGAUCCGAGCGUUAUCCGGAUUUAUUGGGUUUAAAGGGUGAGUAGUGGGAUUGAUAAGUCAGCGGUGAAAGUUUGCAGCUUAACUGUAAAAUUGCCGUUGAAACUGUCGGUCUUGAGUGCAAAUGAGGUAGGCGGAAUGUGUUGUGUAGCGGUGAAAUGCUUAGAUAUAACGCAGAACUCCGAUUGCGAAGGCAGCUUACUGGGAUGCAACUGACACUGAUGCACGAAAGCGUGGGUAUCAAACAGGAUUAGAAACCCCGGUAGUCC